CUUUUUCUUUCACCGGUAGCUCUGCAUACCACCGAAAGAAAAAGAGUGGCGAACGGGUGAGUAACACGUGGGUAACCUGCCCAUCAGAAGGGGAUAACACUUGGAAACAGGUGCUAAUACCGUAUAACACUAUUUUCCGCAUGGAAGAAAGUUGAAAGGCGCUUUUGCGUCACUGAUGGAUGGACCCGCGGUGCAUUAGCUAGUUGGUGAGGUAACGGCUCACCAAGGCCACGAUGCAUAGCCGACCUGAGAGGGUGAUCGGCCACACUGGGACUGAGACACGGCCCAGACUCCUACGGGAGGCAGCAGUAGGGAAUCUUCGGCAAUGGACGAAAGUCUGACCGAGCAACGCCGCGUGAGUGAAGAAGGUUUUCGGAUCGUAAAACUCUGUUGUUAGAGAAGAACAAGGAUGAGAGUAGAACGUUCAUCCCUUGACGGUAUCUAACCAGAAAGCCACGGCUAACUACGUGCCAGCAGCCGCGGUAAUACGUAGGUGGCAAGCGUUGUCCGGAUUUAUUGGGCGUAAAGCGAGCGCAGGCGGUUUCUUAAGUCUGAUGUGAAAGCCCCCGGCUCAACCGGGGAGGGUCAUUGGAAACUGGGAGACUUGAGUGCAGAAGAGGAGAGUGGAAUUCCAUGUGUAGCGGUGAAAUGCGUAGAUAUAUGGAGGAACACCAGUGGCGAAGGCGGCUCUCUGGUCUGUAACUGACGCUGAGGCUCGAAAGCGUGGGGAGCGAACAGGAUUAGAUACCCUGGUAGUCCACGCCGUAAACGAUGAGUGCUAAGUGUUGGAGGGUUUCCGCCCUUCAGUGCUGCAGCAAACGCAUUAAGCACUCCGCCUGGGGAGUACGACCGCAAGGUUGAAACUCAAAGGAAUUGACGGGGGCCCGCACAAGCGGUGGAGCAUGUGGUUUAAUUCGAAGCAACGCGAAGAACCUUACCAGGUCUUGACAUCCUUUGACCACUCUAGAGAUAGAGCUUCCCCUUCGGGGGCAAAGUGACAGGUGGUGCAUGGUUGUCGUCAGCUCGUGUCGUGAGAUGUUGGGUUAAGUCCCGCAACGAGCGCAACCCUUAUUGUUAGUUGCCAUCAUUUAGUUGGGCACUCUAGCGAGACUGCCGGUGACAAACCGGAGGAAGGUGGGGAUGACGUCAAAUCAUCAUGCCCCUUAUGACCUGGGCUACACACGUGCUACAAUGGGAAGUACAACGAGUUGCGAAGUCGCGAGGCUAAGCUAAUCUCUUAAAGCUUCUCUCAGUUCGGAUUGUAGGCUGCAACU
Molecule: ribosomal RNA, 1274 nt
Filed under: Enterococcus gallinarum
Lineage: Bacteria; Bacillati; Bacillota; Bacilli; Lactobacillales; Enterococcaceae
Description: bacterial SSU rRNA
Rfam family: Bacterial small subunit ribosomal RNA
Source: RNAcentral